This 591-nucleotide ribosomal RNA is filed under the name Triticum aestivum (bread wheat). Its description in RNAcentral is "partial small subunit ribosomal RNA". The record is from RNAcentral. Lineage: Eukaryota; Viridiplantae; Streptophyta; Magnoliopsida; Poales; Poaceae.
GUCAACGAUAAGGCAUACAUGUCAACUAUGGGUGUUGGCUCCAACAAUUCGCAUUGGUCUCAAACCAAUGACAUGCAUUUCGAAGACCAUGAGUUCGAGGUGGACGAGGAUGGUGAGGGCAUUGUCGACGCACCGAAAGGAAGAGGAGGCAACUACACCAACGAAGAAGAUGUCUUGCUAUGCAAAACUUGGUUGCAAGUGUCGAGGGAUCCAUCCGUUGGAGGUGAUCAAAGUAGAGAUGCUUAUUGGAAUCGGAUGAAGGAACACUUUGAUCUACGCAACGAGAGUGGAAUUGACCGCUCCGAUCGAUCUGUUCGCUCCCGGUGGUCGACAAUCAACAAUGAUUGUCAAAGGUGGGCGGCCGCACAAAAGGCGGUUGACAAGUUGAACCCAAGUGGCACUAAUGAUGAAGAUAGGGUAAGUGCCAUUUCAUCCAUGUUCAUCAUGCUUGUUGUUGGUGUUUGUAGUGCUAACUUGUUUUGUUUUCAUGUAGUUAAAUAUUGCACAAAACUUGUUCAAAGGAGAGGAGAAGAGGACCAAGAAGGGGAAGAUCAAGAAAGGAAGGCCAUUUACCUUGCCUCAUUGCUAUGA